GGUUUCUUUGUGUAGCUUUGGAGCCUAUCCUGACACUCGCUCUGGAGACCAGGCUGGCCUCGAACUCACAAAGAUCCACCUGCCUCUGCCUCCCGAGUGCUGGGAUUAAAGGCAUGCGCCACCACUGCCC
This 130-nucleotide microRNA precursor is filed under the name Cricetulus griseus (Chinese hamster). Its description in RNAcentral is "miRNA (ENSCGRG00000021570.1)". Lineage: Eukaryota; Metazoa; Chordata; Mammalia; Rodentia; Cricetidae. The record is from RNAcentral.